Molecule: long non-coding RNA, 377 nt
Organism: Dermochelys coriacea (leatherback sea turtle)
Lineage: Eukaryota; Metazoa; Chordata; Testudines; Dermochelyidae
Exons: 3
Source: RefSeq, a predicted model, not a curated record
GGAGUCGAGAGUCAGCUGGGUCAGGAUACUGGAAGAGCAGAAGCAAAAGGCCAAAUUGUGUUCAGAACCUCAAAUCAGAUGAGUCACCCCGAGUCAGGAUGCCAGGAAAUCAAGCCUGGGGAGUGGGAGCAGGAACAGCUGACACAUGGUCCAGAGUGGGGGAGGAGCUGGGUGUUCAGACAGUUUCUUGUUCCUACUGCAGGUUUAAGGAGGUCCUGGGGGCCGGUUAGCUGCUCUGGGACUCUGCCAAUAGGCCUCAGGGAUGGAGCCUCAAACUGGGUCUGGACUUCAUAAGUCCUAGGUAAGCAGUUUUUCGUAGGCUUCCAGGUGACGUGCUGGAGUGUGGCUGCUCCCAGGAACUCUGCAGACCAGGGUUA